AGCCGCUGGAAGCGGGAAGCCCCGAACCCGUCUUACUUUCACCUUGCUGGGCUCUUAGUCCAGCCCCAUAAUCCCGCCUUGCCCGCUUAAGGACCUCGUCAGAACAAAAGGACCUUCUGCCUUUUUCCAGCUAAAGUAAACCAGUCUCGGGGACCUUUAGCCGCGCACUUUAUCCCAGACUGCCCAGAUGUGCACAAAAUCUCAUCGGAGAAGGUCCCACGUCCCUGCUCAUUCCCCCAGCUCAGAUGCUCUCCGAGAGCGGGUUUCUCCGGGGGGCUUGCAGAGGCAGCAGCCUUCGUUUCUGUGCAGAGUGAUCACCCCGAAUGCAACCAGAGAGUAAAGUCCAAGUCCUUUGUCGUCUCAUUCAAAGUCUGUCUCCUUCACUUGGGGCUCCGCUAGUUUUCUGGAGGUCCUCCACUCCUCAGUCCUCCUUAGUUCUGCCCGACUGGCUUCUGAAUCUCCUCGACUGAAUCUGCCUGAGGCUCCGAGCUUCUACCGGGCUUCUGGCUCUGGCCCCGAGAGCUUCUUGCUUAUAUGCUGUACACUGAGUACACACCAAUCCUUAUAUCACCGGGAAACCAUUAUUUGUUGUAGGAUUAAAUCAGUUCCAAGCUAGAUUUAAACAUUGUCUCCUCAAUUCCACUUAAUACUUUGUUUCAAGUUCUGGCCCGUAACAUCUCCUUGUAGGAUCAGAUCAAUCACACUGAACCAUGAGAAAUUAGACAACUUUUGUCUCUGUCAAUCCCGCUCUUUGUACCUUGUAAGAAUCCUAACAUUGUGAAACAUGAUCUAUUAUGUCCCCGACAUUGUCAGAUCUACUAAUCCUGUCACUGUAUGGUCUUAGUUUUAGAGUAGAGCUACCUUCUCCCUACUUCCUUUGGUAAAGGUUUCUCUGAAAAUUCACCAGGAAUCAAUGGCAGGUUUGGGCUGUUAGAAGAUGUGGGAAAGAUGUUCCCCUUGCCAGACUUCCUCCCUCCUCCCAACAGCCGUUUCCAUGACUUCAUCCCCAUCUCCCCAGACUAAGGAAGUCAUUUGAACAAAAAAUAAGUUUCUAUACUUAAUCGCCUCUUACUUUAAAAAAAAAAAAAAUGAGUUCAAUUCAGCAAAUAUUUUUAAGCACCUACUAUGUGCUGUGCUGGGAAGAGAGAUGCUGUUCAGCUGAGGCACGAGCAAUCUCCAUUUCUGCAUAGAUAAUGAUUGGAAGAAAAUACAUCUACAAAACGUUUACUCUGUUCCAAGAGUGGGGAAGCAUACAAGCAGCAAGACAAUUGCUCCUGAGGAGUUUGCAUUUUUCCAGGGUGCAUGAGAGGACACGGAGAAGGAGGAUGCACAGUUAAGUGCACAGGGAAGCAAAUGCAAGGUGUGUUUUUUUCAGGAGAGAGAGCAGAUGCUCACUAGAUCGACGACCCCAGCAGGUCAUUUCACUUCAGUCUCAGUUUCUUCAUCUGUAAAAUGCGG
RNAcentral lists this long non-coding RNA (1458 nucleotides) under Sarcophilus harrisii (Tasmanian devil). RNAcentral's name for it is "lncRNA (ENSSHAG00000031058.1)". Lineage: Eukaryota; Metazoa; Chordata; Mammalia; Dasyuromorphia; Dasyuridae. The record is from RNAcentral.